CGACAGCCCCUAUAUAGUGGGGUGUCCAACGAUCUGUCCAUCGCCGUUUUGGUUUGGCUCCCGCUCUUGGUCUUGGAUAACAGCCAGCAGAAAAUGUCUCAGUACUCAGGAAAAAUCACUUUCUACGAAGGCAGAUGCUUCACAGGCAGGAAGCUGGACAUCUGCGGCAGCUGCAACAGCUUCCAGGACCAAGGUUUCCUCAAUCGAGUCAACUCCAUCUGCGUCCAGAGUGGAGCCUGGGUCUGCUUUGACCACCCCGACUUCCGAGGGCAGCAGUACAUCCUGGAGCACGGCGAGUAUCCCGAUUUCUACCGCUGGAACGGACGCAGCGACCACCUGGGCUCCUGCCGGCCCAUCGGGAUGCAUGGUGAGCAUUACAGGAUCGAAAUAUUCGAGGGGAGCCAUUUUAGGGGUCCCAGCAUGGAGCUGACAGAAGAUUGCUCCUUCCUCCAGGGACAAGGCUGGGACAAGACCUGCAUCAAUGCCCUCAAAGUGUACGGCGAUGGCGCGGUGGCAGCUAAGCAUGAGCUACAAGAACUCUGAGAGACCUUUUUAAGGUGUAUGAAACAAGAAGCCUAAAACCAUCUCCUUCCUGCCUGCCUUCCUGCUUGCCUUCCACACCUCUUUCAAAUCAUGCUGAAGCUCAGGGAGGUUGGAUGGACAGCUCCAGGUGAUUCAGGUCAGGGCUUUUGCUUUGCAAGUUACUUCACCACACCUUUUCCUCUGAUGGCAAAAUUGAGGCAGGAGCACCUCCCCUUUACAUUAAAUCCUUCCUCUGAAAGACAGGGCUGACAGCGAUGAUGAUACCCAGACUGAGGCUCAGCCCCACCCUCCUCCCCCUGCAGGUGCUCCUGAAGGCCUGAGCAGGAUAUCAGUUUUGCCUUUUCCUUGAUGUUUGGUGGCAGUUUGUAUUUUCUCAAUGGUGUUGGUCCUUUUUGUGUUCUUUUCUCUCAUUGUCAGACAAGUUGUUACCUGUCUGUCUCCCCUUUCCUCUGUCUGACAACUGUGUUUUCACUGCAAGCAUGCUGGGAGCUGGGGAAUGCCAUCACACCUUCCCAGAGCCAGGCACAGGGUGGCUGGAGGGAGGCACUGGGGCACAGGGAAGCCCCUGCAGAGGAGGGAACACAGAUACCUUGUUCUUCACCUGUCCUGGACUGGAUAUUGUGCAGCUCACAGACACCUGGUGUGAGAUGCUGGACCCUUUGUGUCCAUUUUUUUUCCCUAAGAAUAAGGAGAGGUUGUUGCCAUCCAAGUUCAAGAUAUCCUGACAGCAGCAAGUGUCCUGCUGGACUCUUUCUGAUCCAGCCAAGGUCUCUCCUCUUCCAAAAAUCCAGGCUUAUUGAUUAGGCAAUGACAGUUCAUUAAGGGCCAGAGCUACCCACUCCUGAUGGGAAGAAAUGGCUGGAGCCCACCAGGGACCCUGUCAGUGCUGAGCAUUCAAGUACCAACACUACAAAGCCAAGAGGGAGCCUGUGAGUGCUCUGGCAAGAGUUUUAGGGCCAAUUUACUGCUUGAGUCCCUGUAGCAGAGCCUGGAGCUUGAGAAAUUGGGAAACUGCCCAGAAACUUUCAAGCACUUGAAUUUUUCAGAUUGGUUUUCCCCUUCCCCUACAAAAUAUAUAAAGGGAACAAAGCUUGCUCUCCCUCACACAGGAGUCUGGAUGGUUUGUGUUGACAUUACAGGACUUCUCGAGAUCUAUGAAUAGUGAGAAAAAACUGGAAAAAAAUAAAGCACAGAGAGGAGUGUGGUGAGGAAACUCGUUGAGGUUUGUAGCAUUACAUUCAGAUCCCAGGAAGGACAUGCUUGGAAAGGUCUGUAAAGGCAAUUAAAAAGGACAAUGCAGAAGGACCUGCUGGAGGUCAGAGAGGCUGCAGGAGAGGAAGGAGGGAGGGAUGAGAUUCCUCUGCAGAGAGGUGGGAGCAGGGAAAGAAAGGGACCCUAUAGCACCACUUUCCUCCUUUGGAUGGACCUUCUAAACCCAGGUGCCUUCAGAGGUGCUGCAGGUGUAGGUGGUGCUGGGCAUAACCUGGCAAAGCUGUCCCAGGACUCAUCCUUGGCUGUUUGGUUAGCAGGGGAGAUGGGAUCAAUGGAGACAAAGGGAGUUUCAUCCACAGUCUUGCUCAGUGAUUUUCACCCUCAAUUCCCACAAUGCGACAUCUGUUGGAUACAGAAAUAUUUGUUUCCAUUUCAAAAUCCAUGGAUGGUGUCAUGUGCUGAUAAAAAGUUGCUGCCUGCGCUUUGUGGAGGUGGCCAUGCCCCCGGGAAGUGAUGAUGGAUCAUCUGGAAACAUGGGAAUGGAGACAAACAUCGGCCUUUGGCAUGGUGCAUGGUGGGUGCUGUACGAGGAGCCCAACUACCGCGGCCGCAUGUACGUGGUGGAGCGCGGCGAGUUCAGCAGCUUCAACGAGUGGCAGGCACGCAGUGCCAGCGUCCAG
This is an RNA transcript of Parus major (Great Tit), 2435 nucleotides long. It is a transcript of the gene named crystallin gamma N, with no coding region annotated. NCBI's taxonomy places the organism in Eukaryota, Metazoa, Chordata, Aves, Passeriformes, Paridae. The record is from RefSeq and is a predicted model, not a curated record. The transcript is spliced from 5 exons.